Molecule: ribosomal RNA, 396 nt
Filed under: uncultured Bacillota bacterium
Lineage: Bacteria; Bacillati; Bacillota
Description: bacterial SSU rRNA
Rfam family: Bacterial small subunit ribosomal RNA
Source: RNAcentral
UUUGAUUCUGGCUCAGGAUGAACGCUGGCGGCAUGCCUAAUACAUGCAAGUCGAACGAGAUGGCCCAGUGAAGGUUGCGUGCUUGCACAAGACUGAAUCUGGAUCACCAUCUAGUGGCAGACGGGUGAGUAACACGUGGGUGACCUACCUUUUCGUUGGGGAUAACAGUUGGAAACGAUUGCUAAUACCGAAUAAAAUAUAAGAGCCAAUUUUAUAUUGAAAGGAGCCUUUAAAGCUUCGCGAUUAGAUGGGCCUGCGGCGUAUUAACUUGUUGGUGAGGUAACGGCUCACCAAGGUAACGAUGCGUAGCCGAACUGAGAGGUUGAUCGGCCACACUGGGACUGAGACACGGCCCAGACUCCUACGGGAGACAGCAGUUGGGAAUAUUCGUCAAUG